This 1053-nucleotide long non-coding RNA is filed under the name Strigops habroptila (Kakapo). Its description in RNAcentral is "lncRNA (ENSSHBG00005019303.1)". Lineage: Eukaryota; Metazoa; Chordata; Aves; Psittaciformes; Psittacidae. The record is from RNAcentral.
CGGCCUCAGACCAUUUAUUGGGGUGAUUCGGGGGGGGGGGGUUAAAACGGGGGGUGUUAAUCCUCCCCCCCCCCCAUAAGGCACUUUAUUCGGGGGGAUGGGGUUAAUGCUGGUGAUGGGGGGGGCCCUGAGGACUCUCAGUAUCUCCCAGUUGCAGUCCCGUGGUCCCCAGUAGCUCCCAGUUGUCCCCAGUAGUCUCCCAGACACCCCCCCCCCCCAGUAGGCACUUGGUUGCUUCCCAGUGACUCCCAGUUCCACCCAGUAACUCCCUGGGACUGCUCCGUGCCACCCAGACCUCUCCCAGUAGCCCCCAGUGACCCCCUACAAGCCUCCCAGUGACCCCCCCCAACUUUCCCGAUAGCCCCCCAACAGCCCAGCAGUCUCCCAGUGUCACCCAGUAGCCCCCAGUCACUGCCAGUGCCCCCUAAACCCCCCCCCGUUGCCCCUAGAAGUCUCCCAGUAGCCUCCCAGUAGCCCUCCAGUAACCUCUAGCACCCCUCGGUCCCCCCAGUGCUCCCUAAAAGCCUCCCAUUUGCCCCUAGAGGUCUCCCAGUAGCCUCCCAGUGACUCCCAGUAGCCCCCAGUGACCCCCUACAAGCCUCCCAGUGACCCCCCCCGAAUUUUCCCGAUAGCCCCCCAACAGCCCAGCAGUCUCCCAGUGUCACCCAGUAGCCCCCAGUCACUGCCAGUGCCCCCUAAAAACCCCCCAGUUGCCCCUAGAAGUCUCCCAGUAGCCCUCCAGUAACCUCUAGCACACCUCGGCCCCCCCAGUGCUCCCUAAAAGCCUCCCAGUUGCCCCUAGAGGUCUCCCAGUAGCCUCCCAGUGACUCCCAGUAGCCCUCCAGUAACCUCUAGCACCCCUCAGCCCCCCCAGCGCCCCCUAAAAGCCUCCCAGUGCUUCCCCAUAGGCCUCCAGUUCCCCCCCUAAACCCUCCCAGUAGUCCCCCAGUCCCCCCAUAGAACCCUCCCAGUGCCUCCCACUUAGGAGGAGGGGAACUGGCUGAGGAAGGCACUGAAGUCCAGGUCCCCCAGGGAGGGCAGCGAGUCCUCGGG